This 258-nucleotide ribosomal RNA is filed under the name uncultured bacterium. Its description in RNAcentral is "partial 16S ribosomal RNA". It matches the Rfam family "Bacterial small subunit ribosomal RNA", at positions 75 to 334 of the family's 1533-position model. The record is from RNAcentral.
CUUGCUUUCUUUGCUGGCGACCGGCGCACGGGUGAGUAACACGUAUCCAACCUGCCCUUUACUCGGGGAUAGCCUUUCGAAAGAAAGAUUAAUACCCGAUAGCAUAAUGAUUCCGCAUGGUUUCAUUAUUAAAGGAUUCCGGUAAAGGAUGGGGAUGCGUUCCAUUAGGUUGUUGGUGAGGUAACGGCCCACCAAGCCUUCGAUGGGUAGGGGUUCUGAGAGGAAGGUCCCCCACAUUGGAACUGAGACACGGUCCAA